AGUAACACGUGAGUGACCUGCCUUUUAGACUGGAACAACUUACCGAAAGGUGAGCUAAUGCCGGAUGAGUUAUAUAAGUGCAUGUUUAUAUAGGAAAAGUUGGGGAGACCUGACGCUGAAAGAUGGACUCGCGUCCCAUUAGCUAGUUGGUGGGGUAAUGGCCUACCAAGGCGACGAUGGGUAGCCGGCCUGAGAGGGUGGCCGGCCACACUGGGACUGAGACACGGCCCAGACUCCUACGGAAGGCAGCAG
This 252-nucleotide ribosomal RNA is filed under the name uncultured bacterium. Its description in RNAcentral is "partial 16S ribosomal RNA". It matches the Rfam family "Bacterial small subunit ribosomal RNA", at positions 109 to 354 of the family's 1533-position model. The record is from RNAcentral.